GACGAACGCUGGCGGCGUGCCUAAUACAUGCAAGUAGAACGCUGGAGGGGGAGCUUUCUUCUCCGGAUGAGUUGCGAACGGGUGAGUAACGCGUAGGUAACCUGCCUGUUAGCGGGGGAGAACUCUUGGAAACGAUAGCUAAUACCGCAUAACAGCAGAUGUUGCAUGACAUUUGCUUAAAAAAUGCAAUUGCAUCACUACCAGAUGGACCUGCGUUGUAUUAGCUAGUUGGUGAGGUAACGGCUCACUAAGGCGACGAUACAUAGCCGGCCUGGGAGGGGGGACGGCCAAACUGGGAAUGAGACCAGGCCCAGACUCCUACGGGAGGCCGCAGGAGGGAAUCUUCGGCAAUGGACGGAAGGCUGGCCGAGCAACGCCGCGUGAGGGAAGAAGGGUUUCGGAUCGGAAAGCUCUGGUGUAAGAGAAGAAAGAGUGGGAGAGUGGAAAGUUCACACUGUGACGGUAUCUUAUCAGAAAGGGACGGCUAACUACGUG
This 495-nucleotide ribosomal RNA is filed under the name uncultured bacterium. RNAcentral's name for it is "partial 16S ribosomal RNA". It matches the Rfam family "Bacterial small subunit ribosomal RNA", at positions 28 to 507 of the family's 1533-position model. The record is from RNAcentral.